RNAcentral lists this ribosomal RNA (925 nucleotides) under uncultured prokaryote. RNAcentral's name for it is "bacterial SSU rRNA". It matches the Rfam family "Bacterial small subunit ribosomal RNA", at positions 84 to 1023 of the family's 1533-position model. The record is from RNAcentral.
AAAUUAAGAUAGUGGCGAACGGGUGAGUAACGCGUAAGUAACCUACCUCUAAGUGGGGGAUAGCUUCGGGAAACUGAAGGUAAUACCGCAUGUGGUGGACCGACAUAUGUUGGUUCACUAAAGCCGUAAGGCGCUUGGUGAGGGGCUUGCGUCCGAUUAGCUAGUUGGUGGGGUAAUGGCCUACCAAGGCUUCGAUCGGUAGCUGGUCUGAGAGGAUGAUCAGCCACACUGGGACUGAGACACGGCCCAGACUCCUACGGGAGGCAGCAGCAAGGAAUCUUGGGCAAUGGGCGAAAGCCUGACCCAGCAACGCCGCGUGAGGGAUGAAGGCUUUCGGGUUGUAAACCUCUUUUCAUAGGGAAGAAUAAUGACGGUACCUGUGGAAUAAGCUUCGGCUAACUACGUGCCAGCAGCCGCGGUAAUACGUAGGAAGCAAGCGUUAUCCGGAUUUAUUGGGCGUAAAGUGAGCGUAGGUGGUCUUUCAAGUUGGAUGUGAAAUUUCCCGGCUUAACCGGGACGAGUCAUUCAAUACUGUUGGACUAGAGUACAGCAGGAGAAAACGGAAUUCCCGGUGUAGUGGUAAAAUGCGUAGAUAUCGGGAGGAACACCAGAGGCGAAGGCGGUUUUCUAGGUUGUCACUGACACUGAGGCUCGAAAGCGUGGGGAGCGAACAGAAUUAGAUACUCUGGUAGUCCACGCCUUAAACUAUGGACACUAGGUAUAGGGAGUAUCGACCCUCUCUGUGCCGAAGCUAACGCUUUAAGUGUCCCGCCUGGGGAGUACGGUCGCAAGGCUAAAACUCAAAGGAAUUGACGGGGGCCCGCACAAGCAGCGGAGCGUGUGGUUUAAUUCGAUGCUACACGAAGAACCUUACCAAGAUUUGACAUGCAUGUAGUAGUGAACUGAAAGGGGAACGACCUGUUAA